ACGCCGGCGACGUUUGCUCACGCGGCGAUCCUCUCGCACUCCCGCGCAGCCGCCGCCGCCGCCGCCGCGGGAGUAACUGGAACAUUGACCUCCAACUGGGACUCGCGCGAGCGCGAGAGAGCACGAGCUCAGCCAAACAUCCCCAGGACCCACGCCCCUCGACCCAACCUCGCUGCUGCUGCUGCUGCUGCUGCUGCUGCUGCUGCAGAGUCGUGCUUGUCUAUGCAAACUCUCUCGGAGGGAUGAAUUUUUAGCGAGGCAGAGGACUCUCGAGGAAGACCAAUCAGCCUCGAAAGAAAAACUUCGGCGUCGAUCGAGUACUAAAAUACACACCUGUCGAGUGACGUUAAGGCUUGGUCUGGGGAAAGUGCGUAGGAACGCUACAACUUCUCAAAGUUCGUCCGCGUGAUCGUCGCGUGAAUAAAUACCUCUGUACAACGGAGUCGACAGAAAGCAGGCGUAACUUUGUAUCACGCUUCGCCGCCAGGAGCCUAGGAAAACGUGCCAAGAGGUAUCGUGCAAGCACUGCAAGCAUUCAUCACGGAGCAACGUGACUGUCUCGUGCUUACGCGACGUAAGUCGGGCCAUUCGAAACCUUAUUGAAGCGCUCUUUCGACCUUUAACUGCGGCUAACUUGCUUCGUGUGAUGAAAAGCCUCGAGAGCGAGUGAGGCUGUAUAGCUUCGCCCUCGCCUACGAGCUGCUGAUAAAGUCGAUCCUGAGCAAUCCAAUUAUCGAGUGAAUGAAGGAUUUUUCCUACAUCGUCUUUUUCAAAAUUUUCUCCAAUUAGAAAAAUCUAAACGAGUCGUUGCGAAAUUUAGCCCAUCUAUUUGCUGCACUUAUGCGAUUCAGGUAGGAUUUUUCGAAAAAUCCACGUACAUUUCCACGACUGCGACGCGUGAUCCGUUUCGAAUUUCCAACUAACUGACAUCGCGGUGGCGCAGCAACGGUAAACAUGUAUAAUUGUUCAAUAUUUGCCGUUCGAAAUACAAUACUCGCUCAACACUUCGAUCGAAAGAAGACUCCCUAGGGCGGACGAAACUAUACAUUCUACGAUCGAUGACGAAUAACUGAACAAAUAAAUGAGCUUCGAGGCGGUAAUAUAACGCGAAGACUUUCGAUUUCGCAGGUACGUUAAUGAGUUUUUCUUGUGACUCAGAAACACAAAUGUGGAAAAACGCAGUGCGUGGGUGGCCGCAAUGUAGCUAUGGCGGCAGUAAGAAUGAGCAGGAAGGCUUCUCUCAUUGAUAUUUUAAGUAAUAGCCUUAAGGCAUUCACUCUGGUAAAACCAUUGAAUGCGGAAAUGAAUGCCGGUAUAAUGGGUAAAAAUAACGCGCAUGAAAGGCAGCAUCCAAAUAAAUACAACGCGAAUCAUGUGUAAAUUUGUAAUGUUUAUCUACUAAUUGUAAGAAUGUAACAUGAUAUCGCAAAUGUUUGAUAUCGGAGUCAAAUUUGUACCAAUGUCAAUUUUCUAUCUAAAUUUCUAUAAAAAAAUAGAAUAUAAAAAAUAUCUUAAAAUGAUCACAGAUUUGAAAAAA
Molecule: long non-coding RNA, 1537 nt
Organism: Nasonia vitripennis (jewel wasp)
Lineage: Eukaryota; Metazoa; Arthropoda; Insecta; Hymenoptera; Pteromalidae
Exons: 2
Source: RefSeq, a predicted model, not a curated record